Canis lupus familiaris (dog) is the source of this 576-nucleotide long non-coding RNA. RefSeq lists it as uncharacterized. The transcript is spliced from 2 exons. The record is from RefSeq and is a predicted model, not a curated record. NCBI's taxonomy places the organism in Eukaryota, Metazoa, Chordata, Mammalia, Carnivora, Canidae.
GGAACCCACUUUCCCCUUCGUUUUAUACAGGUCUCUGUUGUCUGGUGAUACAAUAAACAUGGAGCAUAUUUGUCAUGAGUUUUAAAAAUAGAGUUUUAGAAAAAGAAAAAUCUUUUUAACUUUUGACAUUUUAUCCUGCAGAUUUGCCCCGUGUGUGUGCAACGAGAUACAGAGCCACUAUUAGGGGUUUCGAUUGAACAGGAGUAAAAGACAGGAAACAACCUUAAUAACCAUCAAUUGGGGACUGAGGAUGCCUGUGGCCACUGCAGUGUGUGGGUUUGGCCUCCUCCAGCACCCUGACCUCGACAGUUUUUCUCCACUCAGCUCGAAACCAAGAUGAAAUCAGCCUCAGAUGGCCAUUUCUCUGCCUUAUCUGGACCCCAUGACUCUUUUAUUCUUUGUAAUUUGAAGGGUGUUCCCCUCAAGUGUAUUUGUUUAUAAAUGCCGAGACUCUCUGCCAGUACAGAUGAGGAGCUGGCAGUGUGGUUGCUUCUGGGAAAGGGAAUCAGUGGAUAAGAUUGGAUUUACUUAUUGGCAAAUAAGUAAAUCAAAUAAAAAUUUACAGGGUGAAUUGUA